This 369-nucleotide ribosomal RNA is filed under the name uncultured organism. Its description in RNAcentral is "bacterial SSU rRNA". It matches the Rfam family "Bacterial small subunit ribosomal RNA", at positions 526 to 896 of the family's 1533-position model. The record is from RNAcentral.
CGUAGGCAGCAAGCGUUGUUCGGAGUUACUGGGCGUAAAGAGUGCGUAGGCGGUCUUUAAGUUUGGUGUGAAAUCUCCCGGCUCAACUGGGAGGGUGCGCCGAAAACUGGAAGGCUUGAGGAUGGGAGAGGCAUGCGGAAUUCCUGGUGUAGCGGUGAAAUGCGUAGAUAUCAGGAGGAACACCUGCGGUGUAGACAGCAUGCUGGACCAUUUCUGACGCUGAGGCACGAAAGCGUGGGUAGCAAACAGGAUUAGAUACCCUGGUAGUCCACGCCCUAAACGAUGCAUACUUGGUGUGAGCCAUUCAUUUGGUUCGUGCCGGAGCUAACGCGUUAAGUAUGCCGCCUGGGGAGUACGGUCGCAAGGCUG